RNAcentral lists this ribosomal RNA (253 nucleotides) under uncultured bacterium. RNAcentral's name for it is "partial 16S ribosomal RNA". It matches the Rfam family "Bacterial small subunit ribosomal RNA", at positions 524 to 776 of the family's 1533-position model. The record is from RNAcentral.
GACGGAAGGUGCAAGCGUUGCUCGGAAUCACUGGGCGUAAAGGGUGCGUAGGCGGCUUGGUAGGUCUGGUGUGAAAGCCCCGGGCUCAGCCCGGGAAGGGCACUAGAAACUGCCAAGCUAGAGUGCCGGAGGGGAGAGUGGAAUUCCUGGUGUAGCGGUGAAAUGCGCAGAUAUCAGGAGGAACACCAAUGGCGAAGGCAGCUCGCUGGGACGUGACUGACGCUGAGACGCGAAAGCGUGGGGAGCAAACAGG